AGCAGCCAUCAUUUAAAGAAAGCGUAAUAGCUCACUGGUCGAGUCGGCCUGCGCGGAAGAUGUAACGGGGCUAAACCAUGCACCGAAGCUGCGGCAGCGACACUGUGUGUUGUUGGGUAGGGGAGCGUUCUGUAAGCCUGUGAAGGUGUGUCGUGAGGCAUGCUGGAGGUAUCAGAAGUGCGAAUGCUGACAUAAGUAACGAUAAAGCGGGUGAAAAGCCCGCUCGCCGGAAGACCAAGGGUUCCUGUCCAACGUUAAUCGGGGCAGGGUGAGUCGACCCCUAAGGCGAGGCCGAAAGGCGUAGUCGAUGGGAAACGGGUUAAUAUUCCCGUACUUGGUGUUACUGCGAAGGGGGGACGGAGAAGGCUAUGUUGGCCGGGCGACGGUUGUCCCGGUUUAAGCGUGUAGGUGUGUGUUCCAGGUAAAUCCGGUUCACUUUAACACUGAGGCGUGACGACGAGGCACUACGGUGCUGAAGCAACAAAUGCCCUGCUUCCAGGAAAAGCCUCUAAGCAUCAGGUAACAUCAAAUCGUACCCCAAACCGACACAGGUGGUCAGGUAGAGAAUACCAAGGCGCUUGAGAGAACUCGGGUGAAGGAACUAGGCAAAAUGGUGCCGUAACUUCGGGAGAAGGCACGCUGACACGUAGGUGAAGUGAUUUACUCAUGGAGCUGAAGUCAGUCGAAGAUACCAGCUGGCUGCAACUGUUUAUUAAAAACACAGCACUGUGCAAACACGAAAGUGGACGUAUACGGUGUGACGCCUGCCCGGUGCCGGAAGGUUAAUUGAUGGGGUCAGCGCAAGCGAAGCUCCUGAUCGAAGCCCCGGUAAACGGCGGCCGUAACUAUAACGGUCCUAAGGUAGCGAAAUUCCUUGUCGGGUAAGUUCCGACCUGCACGAAUGGCGUAAUGAUGGCCAGGCUGUCUCCACCCGAGACUCAGUGAAAUUGAACUCGCUGUGAAGAUGCAGUGUACCCGCGGCAAGACGGAAAGACCCCGUGAACCUUUACUAUAGCUUGACACUGAACAUUGAGCCUUGAUGUGUAGGAUAGGUGGGAGGCUUUGAAGUGUGGACGCCAGUCUGCAUGGAGCCGACCUUGAAAUACCACCCUUUAA
RNAcentral lists this ribosomal RNA (1116 nucleotides) under Salmonella enterica. Its description in RNAcentral is "partial 23S ribosomal RNA". It matches the Rfam family "Bacterial large subunit ribosomal RNA", at positions 1111 to 2210 of the family's 2925-position model. The record is from RNAcentral. Lineage: Bacteria; Pseudomonadati; Pseudomonadota; Gammaproteobacteria; Enterobacterales; Enterobacteriaceae.